Molecule: ribosomal RNA, 207 nt
Filed under: uncultured bacterium
Lineage: Bacteria
Description: partial 16S ribosomal RNA
Rfam family: Bacterial small subunit ribosomal RNA
Source: RNAcentral
CGCGUAGGUGGGUGAAUAAGUCAGAUGUGAAAGGCCCGGGCUCAACUUGGGAAUUGCAUUUGAUACUGUUCACCUAGAGUGGAGUAGAGGGUAGCGGAAUUUCCGGUGUAGCGGUGAAAUGCGUAGAUAUCGGAAGGAACACCAGUGGCGAAGGCGGCUACCUGGACUUUAACUGACACUGAGGCGCGAAAGCGUGGGUAGCGAACA